UACAGAGGAUGCAAGCGUUAUCCGGAAUGAUUGGGCGUAAAGCGCCCGUAGGCGGCCUGACAAGUUGGACGUGAAAGCUCCUGGCUUAACUGGGAGAGGCCGUUCAAAACUGUCAAGCUAGAGUCUGGAAGAGGAGAGCGGAAUUCCCGGUGUAGUGGUGGAAUGCGUAGAGAUCGGGAGGAACACCAGUGGCGAAAGCGGCUCUCUGGUCCAAAACUGACGCUGAGGGGCGAAAGCGUGGGGAGCGAACGGG
Molecule: ribosomal RNA, 253 nt
Filed under: uncultured bacterium
Lineage: Bacteria
Description: partial 16S ribosomal RNA
Rfam family: Bacterial small subunit ribosomal RNA
Source: RNAcentral